This 473-nucleotide ribosomal RNA is filed under the name Klebsiella variicola. RNAcentral describes it as "bacterial SSU rRNA". It matches the Rfam family "Bacterial small subunit ribosomal RNA", at positions 1 to 472 of the family's 1533-position model. Lineage: Bacteria; Pseudomonadati; Pseudomonadota; Gammaproteobacteria; Enterobacterales; Enterobacteriaceae. RNAcentral also lists the same sequence under 1 other name. The record is from RNAcentral.
AAAUUGAAGAGUUUGAUCAUGGCUCAGAUUGAACGCUGGCGGCAGGCCUAACACAUGCAAGUCGAGCGGUAGCACAGAGAGCUUGCUCUCGGGUGACGAGCGGCGGACGGGUGAGUAAUGUCUGGGAAACUGCCUGAUGGAGGGGGAUAACUACUGGAAACGGUAGCUAAUACCGCAUAAUGUCGCAAGACCAAAGUGGGGGACCUUCGGGCCUCAUGCCAUCAGAUGUGCCCAGAUGGGAUUAGCUGGUAGGUGGGGUAACGGCUCACCUAGGCGACGAUCCCUAGCUGGUCUGAGAGGAUGACCAGCCACACUGGAACUGAGACACGGUCCAGACUCCUACGGGAGGCAGCAGUGGGGAAUAUUGCACAAUGGGCGCAAGCCUGAUGCAGCCAUGCCGCGUGUGUGAAGAAGGCCUUCGGGUUGUAAAGCACUUUCAGCGGGGAGGAAGGCAUUAAGGUUAAUAACCUUAG